GACGAACGCUGGCGGCGUGCUUAACACAUGCAAGUCGAACGGAAAGGCCUUUUCGGAGGUACUCGAGUGGCGCAAGGGUGAGUAACACGCGGGUGAUCUGCCCUGCACUCUGGGAUAAGCCUGGGAAACUGGGUCUAAUAUAGGAUAGGACCGCACUUUAGUGUGUGUGGUGGAAAGUUUUUUCGGUGUAGGAUGAGCCCGCGGCCUAUCCGCUUGUUGGUGGGGUAAUGGGCUACCAAGGCGGCGACGGGUAGCCGGACUGUGAGGUUGGUCGGCCACAUUGGGACUGAGAGGCGGCCCAGAUGCCGACGGGAGGGAGAAGUGGGGAAUAUUGCAGAAUGGGCGCAAGCCUGAUGCAGCGACGCCGCGUGUGGGAUGACGGCCUUCGGGUUGUAAAAGCCUUGCGGCAGGGACGAAGCGUUGUGUGACGGUACCUGGAGAAGAAGCACCGGCUAACUACGUG
RNAcentral lists this ribosomal RNA (463 nucleotides) under uncultured bacterium. RNAcentral's name for it is "partial 16S ribosomal RNA". It matches the Rfam family "Bacterial small subunit ribosomal RNA", at positions 28 to 507 of the family's 1533-position model. The record is from RNAcentral.